UAGAUCCUACGGGAGGCAGCAGUAGGGAAUCUUCGGCAAUGGACGAAAGUCUGACCGAGCAACGCCGCGUGAGUGAAGAAGGUUUUCGGAUCGUAAAACUCUGUUGGUAGAGAAGAACGUUGGUGAGAGUGGAAAGCUCAUCAAGUGACGGUAACUACCCAGAAAGGGACGGCUAACUACGUGCAAGCAGCCGCGGUAAUACGUAGGUCCAGAGCGUUGUACGGAUUUAUUGGGCGUAAAGCGAGCGCAGGUGGUUUAUUAAGUCUGGUGUAAAAGGCAGGGGCUCAACGAUUGUAUGCAUUGGA
Molecule: ribosomal RNA, 305 nt
Filed under: uncultured bacterium
Lineage: Bacteria
Description: bacterial SSU rRNA
Rfam family: Bacterial small subunit ribosomal RNA
Source: RNAcentral